This 249-nucleotide long non-coding RNA is filed under the name Mytilus galloprovincialis (Mediterranean mussel). Lineage: Eukaryota; Metazoa; Mollusca; Bivalvia; Mytilida; Mytilidae. The record is from RNAcentral.
UGAGAUUAAGGUGGUAUCUAACACUACAGGGAGAUAACUCUGUAAAAUCAGCUAAACGUUUUAAUAACAUUGUGUUGUUAAAGGGAUAUAAAGCUUCUCAAUGAUCAAAAUGAGUGUUUGUCAAACUGCUAUAUAACCAGUGUAAUUCUUUUGAUAAAACGGUUGGUUCAAAAUUUUUAAAAUUUUUAUAUUUUUGUCAAGAGGUCAUAGUAAAUACUUUGUCAAAAUUUUAAGAAAAUUAAACGAGCC